This is a non-coding RNA of Rattus norvegicus (Norway rat), 947 nucleotides long. NCBI's taxonomy places the organism in Eukaryota, Metazoa, Chordata, Mammalia, Rodentia, Muridae. The record is from RefSeq and is a predicted model, not a curated record.
UUCUCCGGCACUUCCCACAUUCUGAAAAAUGCGGUGCCCACUUAGUCACCGCAUUCUCUAAGCCGUGUUCUUGGCAACGGCAGCUUCUGUUUUUAGAAACGGAGGCAACGCUCUUCACAUAGAGCUUGUAAAUGUGAGAGGACAAGGCAUGGUCUCAUCUGGUGGUUCAAAUCCAUCCCUUGCCUUGCUGUUCAGAGAACCCCCAUUGGGUAUUCUACCAUAGAAACAAACUCCUGAGAGAGAUCCCGUGUUGGUGAUGCGGGUCCAUCACCCAAGUUUCCUGGGAGCCUGGGGCUAAAGGAUCACAAGGCCAAGGCCAUCUUGGCUGACUUCAUGAGACGCUGUCUUCAAAUAAAAAGCAAAUGAAGACAGGCGGUGCAGCCUCCUGGCAUAACGCAUACCCAGCAUACAUGAGGCCUUGGGUCCAGUUCCCGGUACUGGGAGCAGAUGGUGAGGAGAGUAAUAUCGAAGACAUUUAAUGCAAUUUUUAGAUCACCAGUAUGGAUCUGAUGGGACCCUUCUUGCCUGCAGUUGUUCAAUGGGAAUUGGCUUGUGACUGUCUCAGGGAAGGCUUCCUGAUAUGGAGGCGCUGUGCAAUGAACUUGAGAGUCCAUUCUGCAAUUUUAUCAUCAUCCCAGAUAGAAACCAACCUGGAGGGGAUCAGUGCGGUGGACAUCUUGAGAGACUGCCUCUCACAGAGAAGAUUCUUCAUUGACUGAGCCCUUGCAGACAUAAUGUUAUCAUUCCAAACAUACAGAGCUGCCAUCCCCAAGGAGAGAUGCUUUCUAUUUGAGGCUCACCAGCUCUGCAUGCUGAUUUUCGAAGAGAUAAAAAGAGCAUCUGGCCAGCAUAGCACAGACUCGCUUCCCCUCCCUCCUCAUUAUAUGAAGAGUGGAUGAGAUUUUUGCUUCAUUUCUAUUUAUACAAAUAAAGACAGCAGUCUGGGA